Non-coding RNA from Podarcis lilfordi (Lilford's wall lizard), 75 nucleotides. NCBI's taxonomy places the organism in Eukaryota, Metazoa, Chordata, Lepidosauria, Squamata, Lacertidae. The record is from the annotation of a GenBank genome assembly.
GCUGCAAGGGCCGUAGCUCAGUGGCAGAGCACCUGCUUGGCAUGCAGAAGGGCAGUGGUUCCAUCCCUGGCAGCC